This 93-nucleotide transfer RNA is filed under the name Lentinula boryana. RNAcentral describes it as "tRNA-Lys". It matches the Rfam family "tRNA". From Rfam's summary of the family: Transfer RNA (tRNA) molecules are approximately 80 nucleotides in length. Their secondary structure includes four short double-helical elements and three loops (D, anti-codon, and T loops). Further hydrogen bonds mediate the characteristic L-shaped molecular structure. tRNAs have two regions of fundamental functional importance: the anti-codon, which is responsible for specific mRNA codon recognition, and the 3' end, to which the tRNAs corresponding amino acid is attached (by aminoacyl-tRNA synthetases). tRNAs cope with the degeneracy of the genetic code in two manners: having more than one tRNA (with a specific anti-codon) for a particular amino acid; and 'wobble' base-pairing, i.e. permitting non-standard base-pairing at the 3rd anti-codon position. The record is from RNAcentral. Lineage: Eukaryota; Fungi; Basidiomycota; Agaricomycetes; Agaricales; Omphalotaceae.
GCCCGCCUAGCUCAAUCGGCUAGAGCGUCAGACUUUUAAGGCGGUGCUGCUGUUGAGAUCUGAAGGCUGCGAGUUCGACCCUCGCGGUGGGCU